AGCGCAUGCAGCGUGACCCUCUCUGACUUCCCAGGUUAUCUUCUGAACUCCCCACCAUGGCAGCGUCCCCUCUCCCGUCGCUGCUUUCUCUCAAGUUCACUUCAUCGGCUUCCGGCCCACGAGAACAAACCGAACGGAAACAGGAAUUGAGGUGAGCAGAAGUUGAGGGUGGUGGUGAAGCCGCCGGAGAUACCAAAGCUAGUGCUGCUGCGGUUCACAUGAACGGAGAAGAACACGGAGCUCGCGCCGGAACAGGUGAUCCCGGGCGGCCAAGGUGCCAUUCCCACUGAUCCCCUACUACUUCUGGCGCCGCAGGGACCCGAGGAAGGAGCUCAAAGUCCAAGAUCACCGAUCGACAGUCAACCUCUGGCAGUAGAGCGGCAGCAACAUGUAGAUCCCUCUUCCUCUCGUCCCAUACCUUCAAGAAUCUUAAUGUGCUCUUGCUUCAGAAAAGAUUAUUGCACUAGAUUUGUAGUGUAUGAGAUAUGGGUUUGUACUGCCUUCAA
This is a long non-coding RNA of Musa acuminata AAA Group (dessert banana), 506 nucleotides long. RefSeq lists it as uncharacterized. The transcript is spliced from 2 exons. The record is from RefSeq and is a predicted model, not a curated record. Lineage: Eukaryota; Viridiplantae; Streptophyta; Magnoliopsida; Zingiberales; Musaceae.